RNAcentral lists this ribosomal RNA (104 nucleotides) under Caerostris extrusa. Lineage: Eukaryota; Metazoa; Arthropoda; Arachnida; Araneae; Araneidae. The record is from RNAcentral.
CGGCCAACCAUGUUGAAUAUACCGGUUCUCGUUAGAUCACCGAAGUCAAGCAUCAUUGGGCGCGGUCAGUACUUGGGUGGGUGACCACCUGAGCACUUCGUGCA